UCCCCGAUAGCUCAGUUGGUAGUAGCACCUGACUGUUAAUCAGGGUGUCGUAGGUUCGAGUCCUACUCGGGGAGCCA
RNAcentral lists this transfer RNA (77 nucleotides) under Veillonella sp. RNAcentral describes it as "tRNA-Asn". It matches the Rfam family "tRNA". From Rfam's summary of the family: Transfer RNA (tRNA) molecules are approximately 80 nucleotides in length. The record is from RNAcentral. Lineage: Bacteria; Bacillati; Bacillota; Negativicutes; Veillonellales; Veillonellaceae.